UACGAAGGGGGCUAGCGUUGUUCGGAAUUACUGGGCGUAAAGGGCGCGCAGGCGGCCCCUCCAAGUCAGGCGUGAAAGCCCCGGGCUCAACCCGGGAACAGCGCUUGAGACUGGGGGGCUUGAGUUCGGGAGAGGAGAGUGGAAUUCCCAGUGUAGAGGUGAAAUUCGUAGAUAUCAGGAAGAACACCCGUGGCGAAGGCGGCUCUCGUGGGACGGUACUGACGCUGAGACGCGAAAGCGUGGGGAGCGAACAGG
Molecule: ribosomal RNA, 255 nt
Filed under: uncultured bacterium
Lineage: Bacteria
Description: partial 16S ribosomal RNA
Rfam family: Bacterial small subunit ribosomal RNA
Source: RNAcentral